RNAcentral lists this ribosomal RNA (514 nucleotides) under uncultured bacterium. Its description in RNAcentral is "bacterial SSU rRNA". It matches the Rfam family "Bacterial small subunit ribosomal RNA", at positions 335 to 863 of the family's 1533-position model. The record is from RNAcentral.
ACUCCUACGGGAGGCAGCAGCAAGGAAUUUUCCGCAAUGGGCGCAAGCCUGACGGAGCAACGCCGCGUGCGGGAUGACGCCUUUCGGGGUGUAAACCGCUGUUCGUGGGGACGAAGCACUGACGGUACCCACGGAGGAAGGCCCGGCUAACUACGUGCCAGCAGCCGCGGUAAUACGUAGGGGCCGAGCGUUGUCCGGAGUUACUGGGCGUAAAGCGUGCGCAGGCGGCGUAUCGCGCCCGGCGUGAAAGCCCCCGGCUCAACCGGGGAGGGUCGUCGGGGACGGGUACGCUUGAGGGCAGCAGGGGCUGGUGGAAUUCCCGGUGUAGUGGUGAAAUGCGUAGAGAUCGGGAGGAACACCUGUGGCGAAGGCGGCCAGCUGGGCUGCACCUGACGCUGAGGCACGAAGGCGUGGGGAGCGAACGGGAUUAGAUACCCCGGUAGUCCACGCAGUAAACGAUGCAGACUAGGCGUGGGGGGACUUGACCCCCUCCGUGCCGGAGCUAACGCGGGAA